GAUGAAGAACGCAGCGAAAUGCGAUAAGUAAUGUGAAUUGCAGAAUUCAGUGAAUCAUCGAAUCUUUGAACGCACCUUGCGCCCUUUGGCCAUUCCGAAGGGCAUGCCUGUUUGAGUAUCAUGAACACCUCAACUCUUUAUGGUUUUCCAUGAUGAGCUUGGACUCUGGGGGUUUUGCUGGCUCACAGUCGGCUCCUCUAAAAUAAAUCAGCUUACCAGUGUUUGGUGGGUAUCAUGGGUGUGAUAACUAUCUACGCUUGUGGUUUUUCCACCAGGUAACCUUCAGCAGUGGAGGUUCGCUGGAGCUCAUAGACGUCUCUCCUCAGUGAGGACAGCUCUUUGAACGUUUGAUCUCAAAUCAGGUAGGACUACCCGCUGAACUUAAGCAUAUCAAUAACCGGAGGA
RNAcentral lists this unclassified non-coding RNA (405 nucleotides) under soil metagenome. RNAcentral's name for it is "partial contains 5.8S ribosomal RNA, internal transcribed spacer 2, and large subunit ribosomal RNA". The stretch from base 1 to 121 matches the Rfam family "5.8S ribosomal RNA", at positions 35 to 154 of the family's 154-position model. The record is from RNAcentral.